This 498-nucleotide ribosomal RNA is filed under the name uncultured Entrophospora. Its description in RNAcentral is "SSU rRNA". It matches the Rfam family "Eukaryotic small subunit ribosomal RNA", at positions 569 to 1065 of the family's 1831-position model. Lineage: Eukaryota; Fungi; Glomeromycota; Glomeromycetes; Entrophosporales; Entrophosporaceae. The record is from RNAcentral.
AGCAGCCGCGGUAAUUCCAGCUCCAAUAGCGUAUAUUAAAGUUGUUGCAGUUAAAAAGCUCGUAGUUGAAUUUCGGGAUUGGCGCAUCGGUCGUGCCUCACGGGGUAUGAACUGGUGCAGUCAAUUUCUCACCUUCUGGAGAACCGCGAUGUCCUUAAUUGGAUGCCGUGGGGAACCAGGACCUUUACUUUGAAAAAUUAGAGUGUUUAAAGCAGGCAUUUUUGCUUGAAUACAUUAGCAUGGAAUAAUAAAAUAGGACGGCAUGGUUCUAUUUUGUUGGUUUCUAGGACCACCGUAAUGAUUAAUAGGGAUAGUUGGGGGCAUUAGUAUUCAAUUGUCAGAGGUGAAAUUCUUGGAUUUAUUGAAGACUAACUACUGCGAAAGCAUUUGCCAAGGAUGUUUUCAUUAAUCAAGAACGAAAGUUAGGGGAUCGAAGACGAUCAGAUACCGUCGUAGUCUUAACCAUAAACUAUGCCGACUAGGAAUCAGACGAUGUUA